GGGUGCGUAGCUCAGCGGUAGAGUACUGCCUCGACACGGCAGGGGUCACAGGUUCAAAUCCUGUCGCACCCACCA
Molecule: transfer RNA, 75 nt
Filed under: Alphaproteobacteria bacterium
Lineage: Bacteria; Pseudomonadati; Pseudomonadota; Alphaproteobacteria
Also listed under: 3 other names
Description: tRNA-Val
Rfam family: tRNA
About the family: Transfer RNA (tRNA) molecules are approximately 80 nucleotides in length. Their secondary structure includes four short double-helical elements and three loops (D, anti-codon, and T loops). Further hydrogen bonds mediate the characteristic L-shaped molecular structure. tRNAs have two regions of fundamental functional importance: the anti-codon, which is responsible for specific mRNA codon recognition, and the 3' end, to which the tRNAs corresponding amino acid is attached (by aminoacyl-tRNA synthetases). tRNAs cope with the degeneracy of the genetic code in two manners: having more than one tRNA (with a specific anti-codon) for a particular amino acid; and 'wobble' base-pairing, i.e. permitting non-standard base-pairing at the 3rd anti-codon position.
Source: RNAcentral